UACGUAGGUGGCAAGCGUUGUCCGGAUUUACUGGGCGUAAAGAGCGCGCAGGCGGUCGUUCAAGUCGCGUGUGAAAGCCCCCGGCUCAACUGGGGAGGGUCACGCGAUACUGAUCGACUCGAAGGCAGGAGAGGGAAGUGGAAUUCCCGGUGUAGUGGUGAAAUGCGUAGAUAUCGGGAGGAACACCGGUGGCGAAGGCGGGUCUCUGGACAGUUCCUGACACUGAGGCACGAAGGCCAGGGGAGCAAACGGG
This 253-nucleotide ribosomal RNA is filed under the name uncultured bacterium. RNAcentral describes it as "partial 16S ribosomal RNA". It matches the Rfam family "Bacterial small subunit ribosomal RNA", at positions 524 to 776 of the family's 1533-position model. The record is from RNAcentral.